Non-coding RNA from Rhypophila decipiens, 124 nucleotides. The record is from the annotation of a GenBank genome assembly. NCBI's taxonomy places the organism in Eukaryota, Fungi, Ascomycota, Sordariomycetes, Sordariales, Naviculisporaceae.
GGUUGCGUGGCCCAGUGGUUAAGGCAUCUGCUUUACAUACAGAAGCUUCAUUUUCACCCGAGAUCGGAGCAAUAACAUCUGAAAUGUACGCAGAGGAUCGCAGGUUCGAGCCCUGCCGCGAUCA